AUACUACACAUGUCGUGUGGGUGAGAUCCUGCGUUCAGGUUCGAGCCGAGCGAAGCGAGACAGCAACGCGUCAGCGUUGACCCGAAGGGCGAGGCCAGAGGCCGAGUCAUCCCGCACGGCCCACCA
Molecule: regulatory RNA element, 126 nt
Organism: Yersinia pestis CO92
Lineage: Bacteria; Pseudomonadati; Pseudomonadota; Gammaproteobacteria; Enterobacterales; Yersiniaceae
Rfam family: RtT RNA
About the family: This family represents a bacterial cis-regulatory element known as RtT RNA. The exact function of RtT is unknown although it is thought that it may be involved in changing the cellular response in relation to amino acid starvation.
Source: Rfam